This 438-nucleotide unclassified non-coding RNA is filed under the name Rhodotorula toruloides. The record is from RNAcentral. Lineage: Eukaryota; Fungi; Basidiomycota; Microbotryomycetes; Sporidiobolales; Sporidiobolaceae.
UCGUCUCCCUGCUGCGAUCCACCCCGUUAGGACUCUCAGACUGCUGCUCACUGCCAUCAGACCGUCUCUAUCGCCCUCCACGCCCGCUCGCACCCCGUCGCUUGUCCUCCUCGUCCGCACUCGCAACCUCACCUCGGACCCGCCUGCCACCCGUUCGACGCCUCCUGGUGAUCCAGCAGUUCUCGCGAGUCUAGUCUAGGGAGGCUGGAGACUCACUCUAUGUGAGCAUGUGUGGGCACUGACGAGGAGGCAGAGGUGGAUUUCGGCGGGUCAGGAGUCACGGCGCUCCCAACUGCAGCAGCUCCUCCGCUUUGCGAGCAAGGCACCUCCACGACCCUUCCUGCUCCGACGAGCGUGCUACGGUGAAGCGCAUCGCCAGACGACACCUCAGAAGUCGCGCGAACGAGCUAACAAUCAAGACCCAACGCUUCGACUGAU